This 253-nucleotide non-coding RNA is filed under the name uncultured bacterium. RNAcentral's name for it is "partial 16S ribosomal RNA". It matches the Rfam family "Bacterial small subunit ribosomal RNA", at positions 524 to 776 of the family's 1533-position model. The record is from RNAcentral. RNAcentral also lists the same sequence under 1 other name.
UACGUAAGGACCAAGCGUUAUCCGGAAUCACUGGGCGUAAAGGGUGCGCAGGAGGGCAUGCAAGUCUGACGUGAAAGCCCCGAGCUUAACUCGGGAAUCGCGCCGGAAACUGUAUGUCUUGAGGACCAGAGAGGCAGAGAGAAUUCCUGGUGUAGCGGUGAAAUGCGUAGAUAUCAGGAGGAAUACCAGUGGCGAAAGCGCUCUGCUGGAUGGUUCCUGACUCUGAGGCACGAAAGCGUGGGUAGCAAACGGG